This 468-nucleotide ribosomal RNA is filed under the name uncultured bacterium. RNAcentral describes it as "partial 16S ribosomal RNA". It matches the Rfam family "Bacterial small subunit ribosomal RNA", at positions 28 to 507 of the family's 1533-position model. The record is from RNAcentral.
GACGAACGCUGGCGGCGUGCUUAACACAUGCAAGUCGAACGGAAAGGCCCUGCUUUUGUGGGGUGCUCGAGUGGCGAAAGGGUGAGUAACACGUGAGUAACCUGCCCUUGACUUUGGGAUAACUUCAGGAAACUGGGGCUAAUACCGGAUAGGAGCUCCUGCUGCAUGGUGGGGGUUGGAAAGUUUCGGCGGUUGGGGAUGGACUCGCGGCUUAUCAGCUUGUUGGUGGGGUAGUGGCUUACCAAGGCUUUGACGGGUAGCCGGCCUGGGAGGGUGACCGGCCACAUUGGGACUGAGAUACGGCCCAGACUCCUACGGGAGGCAGCAGUGGGGAAUAGUGCACAAUGGGCGGAAGCCUGAUGCAGCAACGCCGCGUGCGGGAUGACGGCCUUCGGGUUGUAAACCGCUUUCGCCUGUGACGAAGCGUGAGUGACGGUAAUGGGUAAAGAAGCACCGGCUAACUACGUG